UGAGGAAUAUUGGUCAAUGGGGGCAACCCUGAACCAGCCAAGUCGCGUGAAGGAUGAAGGUCUUGUGGAUUGUAAACUUCUUUUAUACAGGAAUAAAUUGGGGGACGUGUCCCCUUUUGCAUGUACUGUAUGAAUAAGGAUCGGCUAACUCCGUGCCAGCAGCCGCGGUAAUACGGAGGAUCCGAGCGUUAUCCGGCUUUAUUGGGUUUAAAGGGUGCGCAGGCGGGAUGUUAAGUCGGCGGUGAAAUUUUGCAGCUCAACUGUAAAAGUGCCUUCGAUACUGGCUUCCUUGAGUGUAGAUGAAGUAGGCGGAAUUUGUUGUGUAGCGGUGAAAUGCUUAGAUAUCACGAGGAGCUCCGAUUGCGCAGGCAGCUUACUAAACUACAACUGACGCUCAUGCACGAA
RNAcentral lists this ribosomal RNA (405 nucleotides) under uncultured bacterium. RNAcentral describes it as "bacterial SSU rRNA". It matches the Rfam family "Bacterial small subunit ribosomal RNA", at positions 355 to 757 of the family's 1533-position model. The record is from RNAcentral.